Non-coding RNA from Podarcis lilfordi (Lilford's wall lizard), 76 nucleotides. Lineage: Eukaryota; Metazoa; Chordata; Lepidosauria; Squamata; Lacertidae. The record is from the annotation of a GenBank genome assembly.
GUAAACUACAUAGCUCAGUCGGUAGAGCAUGAGACUCUCAAUCUCAAGGUCAUGGGUUUGAGCCCCAUGUUGGCCA